CCCCUAAGCUCCGCCCACUCCCCGCCCCUGAGGUCCAUCUGGGGCCUCGCCCGGCGAUCUGGGACUGGGGAGGACCCUGCUGACUUCCAGGCAGGUGGAAACUGGAUUGAUAGAAAUCCAGCGCGGGGAGGCUGUGCUGAGAGGAGGGACGCCCCUGCCCUGCGCCUCCCGCUCCCCAUCUCUGGCUGGUAUCCCGGUUACAGAAUGAGGGUCCGUGGUGCAACAGAAAGAAUGAGCCACUGAUACACUCAUCAGCUUGCUCGGAUCUCCCGGGGAGUUACGCUGGUGAGAGAAACCAGUCCCAAAGGUCACUCACCGACGGCGCCGCUGGUGUACUGGUAUUAUGCAAGAUGCCCUCGCAAAGGUCACGCACGGAUGGUUCAUUUAUCCAAAGACCAAAGGAGAGAAAUGCAGGACUCAUUAGCAGUGCCCAGGAGAUAGGGGGGCGGGUGGGUGUGGCUAUAAAAACGCAACCCGGGGGGUGCCUGUGAAGGAAAUCUGCGUCCCGCGGAACGCAACACGCUGUUGGGAUACUGGAUUGUCCUUUGUGAGAUGCCACUAUCGGGGGAAACCGGAUGGCUUCACAGAAAAAGUUCGUUUAAAGGAAAAUGGUUUAAGGCCAAGGAAAUACCUAGAAAACGGAAAGUCUUGAAACCAGAGCCGGUGGGGAGUUAUGGGGGGCGGUGCUGGUGAACAGUUUGGGCCGACUUUUUCCAGCGCUUGCUGGCUUCUGCCACCUCAUUUGGCAGUCACCUGCCACUGUGACCUCCCCAAGUCCCUUCUCCAAACUCAAUUCCUUGAUUUCUGGUGUCCCGGGAUGGCCCCACUCCAACAAUAGAGCAGAAGGAAGGAAGGUUUCCCCUGUGUUUAGAACGUUCCUAACGAAAAUAACUGCAACUCUUGAUUGUACCUCCUGAGGGUCGUUGGGACUUUCCCUCUCAGACAUUUAUUGGUUCAUUCAUUCGUUCAUUUUGCUGUAACUCACAGUGGCCCUCCCCAUCCUAAGGUGCACUGCUGGGAUUGGUCUAUGUGCUGAUGAUGUUCUCCUUGUCUUCAGAGGAAAAAGAAUGCCUGUGUUUCGAAGUUCCUUCUUAGGACGAAACCAGCUGAAGCUGGCGAAAUCCAAGAUGGCGCCUCUGAAGAGCCUCUGGCUUUAUCAUCAUCCUGUUCUCAUGCUAAACAACAUGUCGCCAUGACAACGACUGGAAGAGACCAAGAAGGGACAGAAAAAAAGGGGUUUCUUGAUUCCGGGAAAAAUCUCCGUUCUUUCCCAAGGAAAGCACGAAUAUUCCCCCCCGUGCUCUUAAUGCCCAGCCCCUUCAUUAAAGACACCCUACCUCUGAAACUUCCCAGCUCUCACAAGCUAAGUUGAUUUCAGAUCUUCCAAUUCCAUAGCCAUUGAAUACAGCCUGCACUGCUUGACACACUCCCUUUCGGUUUCGUGCAUUGGCCUCACCACGCAACAGGAAACAACCCUUUUUGGGAUAACCGGGACUCCCGGUAACAUUUCCAUAUAUACAUAUCUUAAUGUAUGCAAGGGCGUCUGGGGGAGAAAGAAGCAGCACAUUUCAUUCUUUGCUUUCUAUAAUACUGGAUUGCUUGAGUUUGUGACACAUGUUAACAUUUGCAACAUUUUUAAACUAAAUUGUAUGUAUUAUAGAACAGUCCUCUGCGCUGAGCUUGGACUUAAAGUGGAAAGGCUUACAUUUGCAGAAUUAAAAAAAGCAUCGAAACA
RNAcentral lists this long non-coding RNA (1735 nucleotides) under Homo sapiens (human). Its description in RNAcentral is "NQO2 antisense RNA 1, transcript variant 1 (NQO2-AS1)". Lineage: Eukaryota; Metazoa; Chordata; Mammalia; Primates; Hominidae. The record is from RNAcentral.